UGCUAGAGAACUUUCCAGAGAUGGAUUGGUGCCUUCGGGAACUCUGACACAGGUGCUGCAUGGCUGUCGUCAGCUCGUGUCGUGAGAUGUUGGGUUAAGUCCCGUAACGAGCGCAACCCUUGUCCUUAGUUACCAGCACGUUAUGGUGGGCACUCUAAGGAGACUGCCGGUGCAAACCGGAGGAAGGUGGGGAGUGACGUCAAGUCAUCAUGGCCCUUACGGCCUGGGCUACACACGUGCUACAAUGGUCGGUACAAAGGGUUGCCAAGCCGCGAGGUGGAGCUAAUCCCAUAAAAACCGAUCGUAGUCCGGAUCGCAGUCUGCAACUCGACUGCGUGAAGUCGGAAUCGCUAGUAAUCGUGAAUCAGAAUGUCACGGUGAAUACGUUCCCGGGCCUU
RNAcentral lists this ribosomal RNA (398 nucleotides) under uncultured Pseudomonas sp. RNAcentral describes it as "bacterial SSU rRNA". It matches the Rfam family "Bacterial small subunit ribosomal RNA", at positions 987 to 1382 of the family's 1533-position model. The record is from RNAcentral. Lineage: Bacteria; Pseudomonadati; Pseudomonadota; Gammaproteobacteria; Pseudomonadales; Pseudomonadaceae.